GAAGCUGACUAGACAGUCGCUGCGCAGAUUUAGUGCGGAGAGGAAAGUCCGGGCUCCACAGAGCAGAAUGCCGGUUAACGACCGGACACCGUGAGGUGAUGGAAAGUGCCACAGAAAAUACACCGCCGAUGGCCCGACUUCGCUGCUCGCAAGAGCGGCAAAGUCUUCUCAAGAAGAGCAGUGGCGAAAGCCACUGUGAUGAUUGGGAAGGGAUCAGGUAAGGUUGAAAUGGCGAGGUAAGAGCUCACCGCGCGGGUGGCAACACCAGUGGCAGGGUAAACCCCAUUCGGAGCAAGAUCAAAUAGGCUGACUUUGGCGUGGCUCGCGUCGUCAGCGGGUAGAUUGCUUGAGCGUCAGGUAACGAAACGCCUAGAGGAAUGACUGUCCACGACAGAACCCGGCUUAUCGGUCAGCUUCACCU
This 421-nucleotide RNase P RNA is filed under the name Gallionella sp. RNAcentral describes it as "RNase P RNA component class A". It matches the Rfam family "Bacterial RNase P class A". From Rfam's summary of the family: Ribonuclease P (RNase P) is a ubiquitous endoribonuclease, found in archaea, bacteria and eukarya as well as chloroplasts and mitochondria. The record is from RNAcentral. Lineage: Bacteria; Pseudomonadati; Pseudomonadota; Betaproteobacteria; Nitrosomonadales; Gallionellaceae.